GAUGAACGCUGGCGGCGUGCCUAAUACAUGCAAGUCGAGCGAACGGACGAGAAGCUUGCUUCUCUGAUGUUAGCGGCGGACGGGUGAGUAACACGUGGAUAACCUACCUAUAAGACUGGGAUAACUUCGGGAAACCGGAGCUAAUACCGGAUAAUCUUUUGAACCGCAUGGUUCAAAAGUGAAAGACGGUCUUGCUUUCACUUAUAGAUGGAUCCGCGCUGCAUUAGCUAGUUGGUGAGGUAACGGCUUACCAAGGCAACGAUGCAUAGCCGACCUGAGAGGGUGAUCGGCCACACUGGAACUGAGACACGGUCCAGACUCCUACGGGAGGCAGCAGUAGGGAAUCUUGCGCAAUGGGCGAAAGCCUGACGGAGCAACGCCGCGUGAGUGAUGAAGGUCUUCGGAUCGUAAAACUCUGUUAUUAGGGAAGAACAUAUGUGUAAGUAACUGUGCACAUCUUGACGGUACCUAAUCAGAAAGCCACGGCUAACUACGUG
RNAcentral lists this ribosomal RNA (497 nucleotides) under uncultured bacterium. Its description in RNAcentral is "partial 16S ribosomal RNA". It matches the Rfam family "Bacterial small subunit ribosomal RNA", at positions 28 to 507 of the family's 1533-position model. The record is from RNAcentral.